UGGGGAAUAUUGCACAAUGGGCGCAAGCCUGAUGCAGCCAUGCCGCGUGUGUGAAGAAGGCCUUCGGGUUGUAAAGCACUUUCAGCGAGGAGGAAGGUGGUGAGCUUAAUACGCUCAUCAAUUGACGUUACUCGCAGAAGAAGCACCGGCUAACUCCGUGCCAGCAGCCGCGGUAAUACGGAGGGUGCAAGCGUUAAUCGGAAUUACUGGGCGUAAAGCGCACGCAGGCGGUUUGUUAAGUCAGAUGUGAAAUCCCCGGGCUCAACCUGGGAACUGCAUUUGAAACUGGCAAGCUAGAGUCUCGUAGAGGGGGGUAGAAUUCCAGGUGUAGCGGUGAAAUGCGUAGAGAUCUGGAGGAAUACCGGUGGCGAAGGCGGCCCCCUGGACGAAGACUGACGCUCAGGUGCGAAAGCGUGCAGGAGCAAACAGGAUUAGAUACCCUGGUAGUCCACGCUGUAAACGAUGUCGAUUUGGAGGUUGUGCCCUUGAGGCGUGGCUUCCGGAGCUAACGCGUUAAAUCGACCG
Molecule: ribosomal RNA, 525 nt
Filed under: uncultured bacterium
Lineage: Bacteria
Description: partial 16S ribosomal RNA
Rfam family: Bacterial small subunit ribosomal RNA
Source: RNAcentral